Albula goreensis is the source of this 70-nucleotide non-coding RNA. NCBI's taxonomy places the organism in Eukaryota, Metazoa, Chordata, Actinopteri, Albuliformes, Albulidae. The record is from the annotation of a GenBank genome assembly.
GCCUGUAGUCUAGUGGCUAAGAUACAUGACUGGGACCCUUGAGAUUGGUGGUUCAAAACCCGUGUAGCCA